This 509-nucleotide ribosomal RNA is filed under the name Cherax boesemani. RNAcentral's name for it is "partial 16S ribosomal RNA". It matches the Rfam family "Bacterial large subunit ribosomal RNA", at positions 1844 to 2613 of the family's 2925-position model. Lineage: Eukaryota; Metazoa; Arthropoda; Malacostraca; Decapoda; Parastacidae. The record is from RNAcentral.
UAUANAGUCUGGCCUGCCCACUGGGGACUAAAAGGCCGCGGUAUUAUGACCGUGCGAAGGUAGCAUAAUCAUUAGUCUUUUAAUUGAGGGCUGGAAUGAAUGGUCGGACGAGAAGUAAGCUGUCUUUAUUUCAUGGAUUGAAUUUAACUUUUAAGUGAAAAGGCUUAAAUGGAUUAGAGGGACGAUAAGACCCUAUAAAGUUUAUACAUGGAGUUAGUUAAAAGUGAUUCAGGAUAGUAAAGUUUGUUAUUAGCAAGAUGUUUAGUUGGGGCGACUAGAAUAUAAGUUAUAUAACUGUUUUUUAUUUAAGUCAGAAGUAUUUGUUUAUAGUGAUCCCUUUUUAGGAUUAAAGAGUAAAUUACUUUAGGGAUAACAGCGUAAUUUUUUUUGAGAGUUCGUAUCGACAAAAGAGUUUGCGACCUCGAUGUUGAAUUAAAAAUUUCUCUGUGGUGUAGUGGUUGCAGGAGAAGGUCUGUUCGACCUUUAAAUUUUUACAUGAUUUGAGUUCA